GAUGAACGCUAGCGGCAGGCCUAACACAUGCAAGUCGAGGGGCAGCACAGUCUAGUUUACUAGACGGGUGGCGACCGGCGCACGGGUGCGUAACGCGUAUGUAACCUACCAUUGACAGGGGGAUAGUCAGAGGAAACUUUGAAUAAUACCGCAUAACAUAUAAAAGAGGCAUCUUUUUUAUAUCAAAAUUUCGAUGGUCAAUGAUGGGCAUGCGUUUGAUUAGAUAGUUGGUGAGGUAACGGCUCACCAAGUCAACGAUCAGUAGCCGGACUGAGAGGUUGAACGGCCACAUUGGAACUGAGAAACGGUCCAGACUCCCACGGGAGGCAGCAGUGGGGAAUAUUGGGCAAUGGGCGAAAGCCUGACCCAGCGACGCCGCGUGAGGGAAGACGGUCUUCGGAUUGUAAACCUCUUUAUAAGGACGAAUUAUGACGGUACCUUAUGAAUAAGCCACGGCUAACUACGUG
Molecule: ribosomal RNA, 467 nt
Filed under: uncultured bacterium
Lineage: Bacteria
Description: bacterial SSU rRNA
Rfam family: Bacterial small subunit ribosomal RNA
Source: RNAcentral